AGUAAAUAGAUACCCAGGUAGUCCACGCCGUAAACGAUGAAUACUAGGUGUAGGGGUUGUCAUGACCUCUGUGCCGCCGCUAAACGCAUUAAGUAUUCCGCCUGGGGAGUACGGUCGCAAGAUUAAAACUCAAAGGAAUUGACGGGGGCCCGCACAAGCAGCGGAGCAUGUGGUUUAAUUCGAAGCAACGCGAAGAACCUUACCUAGACUUGACAUCUCCUGAAUUACCUUUAAUCGGGGAAGUCCCUUCGGGGACAGGAAGACAGGUGGUGCAUGGUUGUCGUCAGCUCGUGUCGUGAGAUGUUGGGUUAAGUCCCGCAACGAGCGCAACCCUUAUUGUUAGUUGCUACCAUUUAGUUGAGCACUCUAGCGAGACUGCCCGGGUUAACCGGGAGGAAGGUGGGGAUGACGUCAAAUCAUCAUGCCCCUUAUGUCUAGGGCUACACACGUGCUACAAUGGUCGGUACAGAGAGAUGCUAAACCGUGAGGUGAGCCAAACUUUAAAACCGAUCUCAGUUCGGAUUGUAGGCUGAAACUCGCCUAC
This 544-nucleotide ribosomal RNA is filed under the name uncultured bacterium. Its description in RNAcentral is "bacterial SSU rRNA". It matches the Rfam family "Bacterial small subunit ribosomal RNA", at positions 774 to 1319 of the family's 1533-position model. The record is from RNAcentral.